CAAUAGCGUAUAUUAAAGUUGUUGCAGUUAAAAAGCUCGUAGUUGGAUUUCUGAUUGAGACAUCAGGUCGGGUCCGAGAGGAUCAUGUACUUUGAUUUGUUUUGAUCAUCCUUGGGGAGAGCAGUUCUGGCAUUAAGUUGUCGGGGUUGGGAUCCUCAUCGUUUACUGUGAAAAAAUUAGAGUGUUCAAAGCAGGCCUCGGCCUCUGAAUACAUUAGCAUGGAAUAAUAAGAUAGGACUUUGGUGGUCUAUUUUGUUGGUUUGCACGCCAAAGUAAUGAUUAAUAGGGAUAGUCGGGGGUAUUCGUAUUCAAUUGUCAGAGGUGAAAUUCUUGGAUUUAUGGAAGACGAACUACUGCGAAAGCAUUUACCAAGGAUGUUUUCAUUAA
RNAcentral lists this ribosomal RNA (387 nucleotides) under uncultured eukaryote. Its description in RNAcentral is "partial 18S ribosomal RNA". It matches the Rfam family "Eukaryotic small subunit ribosomal RNA", at positions 592 to 976 of the family's 1831-position model. The record is from RNAcentral.